GAGACACCCUUCUGGGGCAAGACUUGCUUCAGUGGGGCUUUGGUGCUCACUGAGUCGUCCUCCUGAGUGUGUCCCU
Molecule: microRNA precursor, 76 nt
Filed under: Myotis davidii
Lineage: Eukaryota; Metazoa; Chordata; Mammalia; Chiroptera; Vespertilionidae
Description: mir-9229 microRNA precursor family
Rfam family: mir-9229 microRNA precursor family
Source: Rfam by way of RNAcentral